This 73-nucleotide transfer RNA is filed under the name Gemmatimonadota bacterium. RNAcentral describes it as "Gemmatimonadetes bacterium tRNA-Gln". It matches the Rfam family "tRNA". From Rfam's summary of the family: Transfer RNA (tRNA) molecules are approximately 80 nucleotides in length. Their secondary structure includes four short double-helical elements and three loops (D, anti-codon, and T loops). RNAcentral also lists the same sequence under 1 other name. The record is from RNAcentral. Lineage: Bacteria; Pseudomonadati; Gemmatimonadota.
UGCCCCUUGGUGUAACUGGCAACACGUCCGGUUCUGGUCCGGGAGAGUCUAGGUUCGAGCCCUAGAGGGGCAA